AUCUGCUCAGCAGGGGCUGGGUCCCCUAUGCUGUUUCAGUGCACAGUAGGGGUACACUCAUAGUGAGUGUGUCGCUGCACAUACUAGGUGUUCAGCCCCCAAUGGGUGAACCUCAGUGUGCGGUGGGUGUACCCUCACAAGGCUUGUGUCUUCCAGCACUCUGUGGCGACCGUCCCCAAGAUGCAGCCCUAGGACAACUGCUCCUGAAAGGAUCCCCCAGCCCACUCCAGGCCUGGUGGCAUCCACUGUCCCUGGACACCUGAGCACCGCGGCUUCAGCUGGCUCACCCUUCCCAGGCC
This 299-nucleotide long non-coding RNA is filed under the name Fukomys damarensis (Damara mole-rat). RNAcentral describes it as "lncRNA (ENSFDAG00000029486.1)". Lineage: Eukaryota; Metazoa; Chordata; Mammalia; Rodentia; Bathyergidae. The record is from RNAcentral.